GACGUAGGGCGCGAGCGUUGUCCGGAUUUAUUGGGCGUAAAGAGCGUGUAGGCGGCCAAGCAGGUCCGCUGUGAAAACUUGAGGCUCAACCUCGAGACGUCGGUGGAAACCGUUUGGCUAGAGUCCGGAAGAGGAGAGUGGAAUUCCCGGUGUAGCGGUGAAAUGCGCAGAUAUCGGGAAGAACACCCGUGGCGAAGGCGGCUCUCUGGGACGGUACUGACGCUGAGACGCGAAAGCGUGGGGAGCGAACAGG
RNAcentral lists this ribosomal RNA (253 nucleotides) under uncultured bacterium. RNAcentral's name for it is "partial 16S ribosomal RNA". It matches the Rfam family "Bacterial small subunit ribosomal RNA", at positions 524 to 776 of the family's 1533-position model. The record is from RNAcentral.